UAUGACUCGAUAGAGAAGUCCACCAACUCUGGAAUUCAGCCAAGAUCUUAUGGCUCUCCGAGGUAUUGGGGCUAUAUUUAAAACCCCUGGUCCUGGUAUCUUCGUCACUCCCAUGUAUGACUUUGGAUAUGCUUUCUGUUCCUGACCUCUUCCUGGAAGCUAUCCUGGCAUCAACUUUGUGAAAUUGAAUAAAGUACUUAGAACUGCA
Long non-coding RNA from Seriola aureovittata, 208 nucleotides. RefSeq lists it as uncharacterized. The record is from RefSeq and is a predicted model, not a curated record. The transcript is spliced from 2 exons. Lineage: Eukaryota; Metazoa; Chordata; Actinopteri; Carangiformes; Carangidae.